GAAUGCUGACAUAAGUAACGAUAAAGCGGGUGAAAAGCCCGCUCGCCGGAAGACCAAGGGUUCCUGUCCAACGUUAAUCGGGGCAGGGUGAGUCGACCCCUAAGGCGAGGCCGAAAGGCGUAGUCGAUGGGAAACGGGUUAAUAUUCCCGUACUUGGUGUUACUGCGAAGGGGGGACGGAGAAGGCUAUGUUGGCCGGGCGACGGUUGUCCCGGUUUAAGCGUGUAGGUGUGUGUUCCAGGUAAAUCCGGUUCACUUUAACACUGAGGCGUGACGACGAGGCACUACGGUGCUGAAGCAACAAAUGCCCUGCUUCCAGGAAAAGCCUCUAAGCAUCAGGUAACAUCAAAUCGUACCCCAAACCGACACAGGUGGUCAGGUAGAGAAUACCAAGGCGCUUGAGAGAACUCGGGUGAAGGAACUAGGCAAAAUGGUGCCGUAACUUCGGGAGAAGGCACGCUGACACGUAGGUGAAGUGAUUUACUCAUGGAGCUGAAGUCAGUCGAAGAUACCAGCUGGCUGCAACUGUUUAUUAAAAACACAGCACUGUGCAAACACGAAAGUGGACGUAUACGGUGUGACGCCUGCCCGGUGCCGGAAGGUUAAUUGAUGGGGUCAGCGCAAGCGAAGCUCCUGAUCGAAGCCCCGGUAAACGGCGGCCGUAACUAUAACGGUCCUAAGGUAGCGAAAUUCCUUGUCGGGUAAGUUCCGACCUGCACGAAUGGCGUAAUGAUGGCCAGGCUGUCUCCACCCGAGACUCAGUGAAAUUGAACUCGCUGUGAAGAUGCAGUGUACCCGCGGCAAGACGGAAAGACCCCGUGAACCUUUACUAUAGCUUGACACUGAACAUUGAGCCUUGAUGUGUAGGAUAGGUGGGAGGCUUUGAAGUGUGGACGCCAGUCUGCAUGGAGCCGACCUUGAAAUACCACCCUUUAAUGUUUGAUGUUCUAACGUGGACCCGUUACCCGGGUUGCGGACAGUGUCUGGUGGGUAGUUUGACUGGGGCGGUCUCCUCCUAAAGAGUAACGGAGGAGCACGAAGGUUGGCUAAUCCUGGUCGGACAUCAGGAGGUUAGUGCAAUGGCAUAAGCCAGCUUGACUGCGAGCGUGACGGCGCGAGCAGGUGCGAAAGCAGGUCAUAGUGAUCCGGUGGUUCUGAAUGGAAGGGCCAUCGCUCAACGGAUAAAAGGUACUCCGGGGAUAACAGGCUGAUACCGCCCAAGAGUUCAUAUCGACGGCGGUGUUUGGCACCUCGAUGUCGGCUCAUCACAUCCUGGGGCUGAAGUAGGUCCCAAGGGUAUGGCUGUUCGCCAUUUAAAGUGGUACGCGAGCUGGGUUUAGAACGUCGUGAGACAGUUCGGUCCCUAUCUGCCGUGGGCGCUGGAGAACUGAGGGGGGCUGCUCCUAGUACGAGAGGACCGGAGUGGACGCAUCACUGGUGUUCGGGUUGUCAUGCCAAUGGCACUGCCCGGUAGCUAAAUGCGGAAGAGAUAAGUGCUGAAAGCAUCUAAGCACGAAACUUGCCCCGAGAUGAGUUCUCCCUGAGACUUAAAGUCUCCUGAAGGAACGUUGAAGACGACGACGUUGAUAGGCCGGGUGUGUAAGCGCAGCGAUGCGUUGAGCUAACCGGUACUAAUGAACCGUGAGGCUUAACCUU
RNAcentral lists this ribosomal RNA (1655 nucleotides) under Salmonella enterica. RNAcentral describes it as "partial 23S ribosomal RNA". It matches the Rfam family "Bacterial large subunit ribosomal RNA", at positions 1292 to 2925 of the family's 2925-position model. RNAcentral also lists the same sequence under 4 other names. The record is from RNAcentral. Lineage: Bacteria; Pseudomonadati; Pseudomonadota; Gammaproteobacteria; Enterobacterales; Enterobacteriaceae.